UCCACUAACCUAGCAUGCUCGAUGGA
This 26-nucleotide non-coding RNA is filed under the name Mus musculus (house mouse). The record is from RNAcentral. Lineage: Eukaryota; Metazoa; Chordata; Mammalia; Rodentia; Muridae.